This 253-nucleotide ribosomal RNA is filed under the name uncultured bacterium. RNAcentral describes it as "partial 16S ribosomal RNA". It matches the Rfam family "Bacterial small subunit ribosomal RNA", at positions 524 to 776 of the family's 1533-position model. The record is from RNAcentral.
UACAGAGGGGGCGAGCGUUGCUCGGAAUCACUGGGCGUAAAGCGCACGUAGGCGGAUUGUUAAGUCAGGGGUGAAAUCCUGGAGCUCAACUCCAGAACUGCCUUUGAUACUGGCGAUCUCGAGUCCGGGAGAGGUGAGUGGGACUGCGAGUGUAGAGGUGAAAUUCGUAGAUAUUCGCAAGAACACCAGUGGCGAAGGCGGCUCACUGGCCCGGUACUGACGCUGAGGUGCGAAAGCGUGGGGAGCAAACAGG